RNAcentral lists this ribosomal RNA (490 nucleotides) under uncultured bacterium. RNAcentral's name for it is "partial 16S ribosomal RNA". It matches the Rfam family "Bacterial small subunit ribosomal RNA", at positions 30 to 507 of the family's 1533-position model. The record is from RNAcentral.
AUUGAACGCUGGCGGCAGGCCUAACACAUGCAAGUCGAACGGUAACAGGAAACAGCUUGCUGUUUCGCUGCCGAGUGGCGGACGGGUGAGUAAUGUCUGGGAAACUGCCUGAUGGAGGGGGAUAACUACUGGAAACGGUAGCUAAUACCGCAUAACGUCGCAAGACCAAAGAGGGGGACCCUCGGGCCUCUUGCCAUCGGAUGUGCCCAGAUGGGAUUAGCUUGUUGGUGGGGUAACGGCUCACCAAGGCGACGAUCCCUAGCUGGUCUGAGAGGAUGACCAGCCACACUGGAACUGAGACACGGUCCAGACUCCUACGGGAGGCAGCAGUGGGGAAUAUUGCACAAUGGGCGCAAGCCUGAUGCAGCCAUGCCGCGUGUAUGAAGAAGGCCUUCGGGUUGUAAAGUACUUUCAGCGGGGAGGAAGGGAGUAAAGUUAAUACCUUUGCUCAUUGACGUUACCCGCAGAAGAAGCACCGGCUAACUCCGUG